AGUCCCAUGGGAUAUUUGUUGUCCCAUGGGACAAAAAAAAUCCCAUGGGACUAUAAUUAUCCCAUGGGAUU
RNAcentral lists this small RNA (71 nucleotides) under Mytilus galloprovincialis (Mediterranean mussel). The record is from RNAcentral. Lineage: Eukaryota; Metazoa; Mollusca; Bivalvia; Mytilida; Mytilidae.